AUGCCGCCAAAACACUGUUCACAUCGACUGAUUUCUAGUCUGGAUGUAGUCUGCAACGUCGAAGGUGUACCUCUACUUGUGAAUGCCAAAGUAUCGAUAACAUUGACUGUUUGUGGUCAUGUCUUCUGCAUCGGAGGUGUACUGGAGUCUUUUCCUGUGAUUGCGGUCGUAGCGAUGCUAACAACAGGAGAUUUCUCCAAGCAAAAACUGAAUCCUGACUAUGAGCGCCAGAAUCAUCAUACAGCCAGCUGUCCAUUUUACAGAAAUGCAGAAUUAGGUUUCUUUGAUGAAUAG
This is a long non-coding RNA of Cyprinus carpio carpio, 294 nucleotides long. Lineage: Eukaryota; Metazoa; Chordata; Actinopteri; Cypriniformes; Cyprinidae. The record is from Ensembl.